This 253-nucleotide ribosomal RNA is filed under the name uncultured bacterium. RNAcentral describes it as "partial 16S ribosomal RNA". It matches the Rfam family "Bacterial small subunit ribosomal RNA", at positions 524 to 776 of the family's 1533-position model. The record is from RNAcentral.
UACGAAGGGGGCUAGCGUUGCUCGGAAUCACUGGGCGUAAAGCGCACGUAGGCGGAUCGCUAAGUCAGGGGUGAAAUCCUGGAGCUCAACUCCAGAACUGCCUUUGAUACUGGCAAUCUCGAGUCCGGGAGAGGUGAGUGGAACUGCGAGUGUAGAGGUGAAAUGCGCAGAUAUCGGGAAGAACACCCGUGGCGAAGGCGGCUCUCUGGGACGGUACUGACGCUGAGACGCGAAAGCGUGGGGAGCGAACAGG